This 386-nucleotide ribosomal RNA is filed under the name uncultured bacterium. Its description in RNAcentral is "bacterial SSU rRNA". It matches the Rfam family "Bacterial small subunit ribosomal RNA", at positions 28 to 414 of the family's 1533-position model. The record is from RNAcentral.
GACGAACGCUGGCGGCGUGCUUAACACAUGCAAGUCGAGCGGUAAGGCCCUUUCGGGGGUACACGAGCGGCGAACGGGUGAGUAACACGUGGGUGACCUGCCCUCAGCUCUGGGAUAAGCCUGGGAAACCGGGUCUAAUACUGGAUAUGACUCCAUGACGCAUGUUGGUGGGGUGGAAAGCCUUGUGCGGCUGAGGAUGGGCCCGCGGCCUAUCAGCUUGUUGGUGGGGUGANGGCCUACCAAGGCGACGACGGGUAGCCGGCCUGAGAGGCGACCGGCCACACUGGGACUGAGACACGGCCCAGACUCCUACGGGAGGCAGCAGGUGGGGAAUCUUGCGCAAUGGGCGAAAGCCUGACGCAGCGACGCCGCGUGAGGGAUGACGG